UACAGAGGGGGCAAGCGUUGUUCGGAAUUACUGGGCGUAAAGGGCGCGUAGGCGGCCUGUUAAGUCGAACGUGAAAUCCCCGGGCUCAACCCGGGAACUGCGUCCGAUACUGGCAGGCUUGAAUCCGGGAGAGGGAUGCGGAAUUCCUGGUGUAGCGGUGAAAUGCGCAGAUAUCAGGAGGAACACCGGUGGCGAAGGCGGGUCUCUGGGCAACAACUGACGCUGAGGAGCGAAAGUGUGGGGAGCGAACAGG
RNAcentral lists this ribosomal RNA (253 nucleotides) under uncultured bacterium. RNAcentral's name for it is "partial 16S ribosomal RNA". It matches the Rfam family "Bacterial small subunit ribosomal RNA", at positions 524 to 776 of the family's 1533-position model. The record is from RNAcentral.